Long non-coding RNA from Oncorhynchus keta (chum salmon), 1370 nucleotides. RefSeq lists it as uncharacterized. NCBI's taxonomy places the organism in Eukaryota, Metazoa, Chordata, Actinopteri, Salmoniformes, Salmonidae. The transcript has 5 exons. The record is from RefSeq and is a predicted model, not a curated record.
UGCUUUAGACCGCUUCGCCACUCGGGAGAACAAUGCCAUUUGUUCAGAUAACAGAUGAUUUAUUGAUCUAUUAAAUCAUUCCUUCAAGCAUCAGUCUCACUUCAGAAUCCAAACCGGAUGUAAUAUAUUUCUUGCCACUGGUUGGCUUUGUGACUCUAGUCUGAUUUCCAAUAGGGAACACUGUAAACAGAAAGAGUUGCAUACUUCUUCACCCAGCACGGUCACUGAGCUGGCAAGCUAAAGUUAGCUAGUGAGUCACAGAAAUGUACGUUCAGUCUGUUAAUUAUUUCAGUCCGAUUGGACUUAUCCUACUCAAAUCAACAUGGCUCAACAUAGUUUUUUCGUUUUUGACCUCGACAUUCUUGCUGGAUAGAUACUUUGAUAGCUAACAUGUGGGCUAAUCUCCUGUGGAUGCCUCCAUCUAGUUCCCUAGAGCAGCAGACCGGCCCUCCAUUCCCAAACCUGAAGCCCCCUGUCCCCAGCAGGAAUACCAAGAAAAACUUCCUAUUGAGGAAAUCUAAUCACUGAAUGUCCUACUACAAGGAUGUGGUCAGGUUGACACACUUAUGAGCCACAAUAACACAGAUCACACACACCAGAGAUUGCGAGGGCAAGUACAAUGAUCAGUUGGGAAAUUGAAGUUGGUUGCCCAACAUACACACACACUUAAUUUAGGUUAGUGUGUAGUCAAGGCUUGAUCGUUAAAAUAAUAUAGUGUCUAUCUUUCAGAUCUGUCAACCAGGCUCGGUGGGUGACAGGUAAGCGUGUUUCCACAAAGAUGUUCCAGACCUGGAGUGGCACGCUGGAACUUCCAGAGGCUUGUAGACCUGAAGCAGUGUGAGAUCUGACACCCCUACUAGCUCAACCACAGUUCUCACAGCUGCAGUCGUCUGCUCCUGCACCUGCUACACCGGCCACGACAGGUGAUUCAGAUCUGCCAUGCACUCCACCACGGCCCCAGACAGCCUCACCCAGAAGUGCAUGCACCGGGCCUAUCACAAAGCAGAGAUGGGUGGCUGACAAGGAAAAAUAAAACACAACACGCACACACACUCUCUGUUACACACACAUUAUCCCCAAUGUAAAUAAAUUGUAAUUAUUUUAUUUUAGGAUUGGAGAUAUCUUACGCCUACAUAUCCAUUAUCAAUAGCUACAUAAUUACUCUAUCCAAUCAAAGUGUGAUUGAUAAUAUUGUAAGAGUAUUGCUUAAUUUGUAGUUUGAGGAAAUUCUGUGUGCUUUUUUUCUGAGUUGAAAAACAUGCCUCCCUCUCUCUCUCACUCACACACACCCAAUGUAAAGACAUUGUUUAUUUUAUGUAUGUUCUAUUUUAUUUGAGGAUUGUGUGCAAUAAAGUACAUUCACAGUUAAA